GACGAACGCUGGCGGCGUGCCUAAUACAUGCAAGUUGAGCGCUGAAGGUUGGUACUUGUACCAACUGGAUGAGCAGCGAACGGGUGAGUAACGCGUGGGGAAUCUGCCUUUGAGCGGGGGACAACAUUUGGAAACGAAUGCUAAUACCGCAUAAAAACUUUAAACACAAGUUUUAAGUUUGAAAGAUGCAAUUGCAUCACUCAAAGAUGAUCCCGCGUUGUAUUAGCUAGUUGGUGAGGUAAAGGCUCACCAAGGCGAUGAUACAUAGCCGACCUGAGAGGGGGAUAGGCCACAUUGGGACUGAGACACGGCCCAAACUCCUACGGGAGGCAGCAGUAGGGAAUCUUCGGCAAUGGACGAAAGUCUGACCGGGCAACGCCGCGGGAGUGAAGAAGGUUUUCGGAUCGUAAAACUCUGUUGGUAGAGAAGAACGUUGGUGAGAGUGGAAAGCUCAUCAAGUGACGGUAACUACCCAGAAAGGGACGGCUAACUACGUG
This 497-nucleotide ribosomal RNA is filed under the name uncultured bacterium. RNAcentral's name for it is "partial 16S ribosomal RNA". It matches the Rfam family "Bacterial small subunit ribosomal RNA", at positions 28 to 507 of the family's 1533-position model. The record is from RNAcentral.